This 250-nucleotide non-coding RNA is filed under the name Clostridium bornimense. Its description in RNAcentral is "T-box sequence". It matches the Rfam family "T-box leader". Rfam says of the family: Uncharged tRNA acts as the effector for transcription antitermination of genes in the T-box leader family. Lineage: Bacteria; Bacillati; Bacillota; Clostridia; Eubacteriales; Clostridiaceae. The record is from RNAcentral.
UUACAAGCUAUGAGCAGAAGUAGUAAGUAUGAUAAAAAUUCUCAGAGAGCUGGGGUAGCUGUGAACCGGUAAUUUUUUAGUUCUGAACUUGUCUGUGAGCUUUCACCUGAGACUAGUUUUUGUUUAGGGUAGAACGCGAUUCUCACGUUAUAGGGAUAGGUGGUAUGUUUUUUAUAAUGCCACUGAUAGAGUGAGCUUUUUGUAAAAUAAGCUAAAUAGAGUGGUACCGCGAGUUAACCUCGUCUCUUUU